CCCUGACUGAAAUCCUGGGGUGGAGGCAACUUCAGAUCCCCCAGAGAGGGGCUCCUUCUGGGGCUGUCCUUCAUCCUCUGCUCCUGAGGCAGUGCCUGGUCCAGGCUUCAAGUUCAAGCACCCAGCUUUCUCUCUUCCCUGUUCUCCUGUGGUCCUCUCUCCUGGGGAACCCAUGACUCAGGCAAAAGGACCUAGCUACCACGCUGUGAGGGAGCACAUACCAUCCUGCAAAGAGAGAUUUAUAGACAGGACUAGAACUGAGGACCCCAGCUGAUGGCCAGCACCAAAUGCCAGGCAUGUGAGUAAAAGGCCUUCUGAUGAUGCCUGUCCCCAACGCUGUCAUGCCACACACAAGCGACCCUUCUGUGCCCUGUGUGGAAUUCUGACCCAUAGUCUCUGUGGCCUUAGAAAAUGGUUACUUUACUUGACUAAGUUUUCAGGCAAUUUGUAAUGUAGUCAUAGUAACUGCAACACCGUCUACUGGGAAUUGCAGUUUUGUGCUGUUUGCUGUCCAAUGCUGAAAAUAGUUGCCUUACAUACUUUGUCCUGUAUUAUUGUUUUGGGAGAGCUGGUCUCUGAGCCAAGACUUCAGGCUGUAGCUCUGUUCUCUAAAGUAACAAUAAAGAGAAUGCUA
This is a long non-coding RNA of Ochotona princeps (American pika), 634 nucleotides long. RefSeq lists it as uncharacterized. NCBI's taxonomy places the organism in Eukaryota, Metazoa, Chordata, Mammalia, Lagomorpha, Ochotonidae. The transcript is spliced from 3 exons. The record is from RefSeq and is a predicted model, not a curated record.